AAGCCUAGGGGGGCAGCAGUGAGGAAUAUUGGUCAAUGGGCGCGAGCCUGAACCAGCCAAGUCGCGUGAGGGAUGAAGGUUCUAUGGAUCGUAAACCUCUUUUAUAAGGGAAUAAAGUGUGGGACGUGUCCUAUUUUGUAUGUACCUUAUGAAUAAGGAUCGGCUAACUCCGUGCCAGCAGCCGCGGUAAUACGGAGGAUCCGAGCGUUAUCCGGAUUUAUUGGGUUUAAAGGGUGCGUAGGCGGCCUUUUAAGUCAGCGGUGAAAGUCUGUGGCUCAACCCUCGAAUUGCCGUUGAAACUGGGG
RNAcentral lists this ribosomal RNA (305 nucleotides) under uncultured bacterium. Its description in RNAcentral is "bacterial SSU rRNA". It matches the Rfam family "Bacterial small subunit ribosomal RNA", at positions 335 to 638 of the family's 1533-position model. The record is from RNAcentral.